CUUAGGCUUAGGCUUAGGCUUAGUCUUCAACCUAGGCUUAGGCUUAGGCUCAGGCUUAGGCUCAGGCUUAGGCUUAGGCUCAGGCUUAGGCUCAGGCGUAGGCUU
Non-coding RNA from Caenorhabditis elegans, 105 nucleotides. NCBI's taxonomy places the organism in Eukaryota, Metazoa, Nematoda, Chromadorea, Rhabditida, Rhabditidae. The record is from Ensembl.